AAUGAGAGAGAAUAUGUGGAGUUUACAGGGUCACACCGACAGACGAAAUUACUGACAUUCGGUGAAUUCAUUGGAGCUGGGCAGUGAGGGACAUUGACAGUGAUGGGAUCUACGAUCAGUGAAUUACUGAAGGGUUUAACGUUCCCUGAAAUAUCCGGGUGAGAGAAAUGCCCUCAGACGGACGAUUUUAAUCACAAUGUUCAUCAAUUUGUCUGUUUGUGUUUAGCCUGAGUUAUAAUGAACUGGGUGAUUCAGGAGUGAAACUGGUGUCUGCGGCUCUGAGGAACCCGGAGUGUAAAAUACAGACACUGUGGCUGAUCCGUGUCGGUCUCACAGAUUCUGGUGCCGAGGAUCUCGUCUCCGCUCUCAGUACAAACCCAUCACUGAAGGUGCUGAACCUGAGUCGUAAUAAACUGGGGGAUUCAGGAGUGAAACUGGUGUCUGCGGCUCUGAGGAACCCGGAGUGUAAAAUACAGAGACUGGGGCUGUGGGAUGUCGGUCUCACAGAUUCUGGUGCCGAGGAUCUCGUCUCCGCUCUCAGUACAAACCCAUCACUGACGGAUCUGGACCUGACAUCAAACUCUCUGACAGACCGAUCUGUCCCCGCUCUCCGCCGCCUCAUACUGACCCUCCCGAGUCUGGAGUGGAUCCGGCUGGGGGGGAAUCGGUUCAGUGAGACCGGGAUGAAGGAACUGAGAUCUCUACAGGGAGUCAGACCCGGACUGAUGGUGGAUCUGUGAACAUCUGAAUGUGGGGAAUCGGUUCAGUGAGACCGGGGGGAAGGAACUGAGAUCUCUACAGGAACCCAGACUCGGACUGAGAGUGGAUCUGUGAACAUCUGAAUGUGGGGAAUCGGUUCAGUGGGACCGGGAUGAAGGAACUGAGAUCUCUACAGGAACCCAGACCCGGACUGAUGGUGGAUCUGUGAACAUCUGAAUGUGGUGAAUCGGUUCAGUGAGACCGGGAUGAAGGAACUGAGAUCUCUACAGGAACCCAGACCCGGACUGAUGGUGGAUCUGUGAACAUCUGAAUGUGGUGAAUCGGUUCAGUGAGACCGGGAUGAAGGAACUGAGAUCUCUACAGGAACCCAGACCCGGACUGAUGGUGGAUCUGUGAACAUCUGAAUGUGGUGAAUCGGUUCAGUGAGACCGGGAUGAAGGAACUGAGAUCUCUACAGGAACCCAGACCCGGACUGAUGGUGGAUCUGUGAACAUCUGAAUGUGGUGAAUCGGUUCAGUGAGACCGGGAUGAAGGAACUGAGAUCUCUACAGGAACCCAGACCCGGACUGAUGGUGGAUCUGUGAACAUCUGAAUGUGGGGAAUCGGUUCAGUGAGACCGGGAUGAAGGAACUGAGAUCUCUACAGGAACCCAGACCCGGACUGAUGGUGGAUCUGUGAACAUCUGAAUGUGGUGAAUCGGUUCAGUGAGACCGGGAUGAAGGAACUGAGAUCUCUACAGGAACCCAGACCCGGACUGAGAGUGGAUCUGUGAACAUCUGAAUGUGGGGAAUCGGUUCAGUGAGACCGGGAUGAAGGAACUGAGAUCUCUACAGGAACCCAGACCCGGACUGAUGGUGGAUCUGUGAACAUCUGAAUGUGGGGAAUCGGUUCAGUGAGACCGGGAUGAAGGAACUGAGAUCUCUACAGGAACCCAGACCCGGACUGAUGGUGGAUCUGUGAACAUCUGAAUGUGGGGAAUCGGUUCAGUGAGACCGGGAUGAAGGAACUGAGAUCUCUACAGGGAGUCAGACCCGGACUGAUGGUGGAUCUGUGAACAUCUGAAUGUGGUGAAUCGGUUCAGUGAGACCGGGAUGAAGGAACUGAGAUCUCUUCAGGAACCCAGACCCAGACUGAUGGUGGAUCUGUGAACAUCUGAAUGUGGUGAAUCUGUUCAGUGAGACCGGGAUGAAGGAACUGAGAUCUCUUCAGGAACCCAGACCCAGACUGAUGGUGGAUCUGUGAACAUCUGAAUGUGGUGAAUCGGUUCAGUGAGACCGGGAUGAAGGAACUGAGAUCUCUACAGGAACCCAGACCCGGACUGAGAGUGGAUCUGUGAACAUCUGAAUGUGGUGAAUCGGUUCAGUGAGACCGGGAUGAAGGAACUGAGAUCUCUACAGGAACCCAGACCCGGACUGAUGGUGGAUCUGUGAACAUCUGAAUGUGGGGAAUCGGUUCAGUGGGACCGGGAUGAAGGAACUGAGAUCUCUACAGGAACCCAGACCCGGACUGAGAGUGGAUCUGUGAA
Long non-coding RNA from Hypanus sabinus (Atlantic stingray), 2245 nucleotides. RefSeq lists it as uncharacterized. The transcript has 4 exons. The record is from RefSeq and is a predicted model, not a curated record. NCBI's taxonomy places the organism in Eukaryota, Metazoa, Chordata, Chondrichthyes, Myliobatiformes, Dasyatidae.